RNAcentral lists this ribosomal RNA (485 nucleotides) under uncultured bacterium. RNAcentral describes it as "partial 16S ribosomal RNA". It matches the Rfam family "Bacterial small subunit ribosomal RNA", at positions 28 to 507 of the family's 1533-position model. The record is from RNAcentral.
GAUGAACGCUGGCGGCGUGCUUAACACAUGCAAGUCGAACGGGAUCCAAGGGGUGCUUGCACUUUUUGGUGAGAGUGGCGAACGGGUGAGUAACACGUGAGUAACCUGUCCUUUUCUUUGGGAUAAGCAUUCGAAAGGGUGUUUAAUACCUUAUGUUCUGUCUGCCUCUCAUGGGGUGGGUGGGAAAGGCUUUGGCCGGAUUUGGGUGGGCUCGCGGUCUAUCAGCUUGUUGGCGGGGUGAUGGCUUACCAAGGCUUUGACGGGUAGCCGGCCUGAGAGGGUGGUCGGUCAGAUUGGGACUGAGUUACGGCCCAGACUCCUGCGGGGGGCAGCAGUGGGGGAUAUUGCACAAUGGGCGAAAGCCUGAUGCAGCGACGCCGCGUGGGGGAUGAAGGCCUUCGGGUUGUAAGCUUCUUUUGCUCUGAACAAGGCAUGCCAGUGGGUGUGUUGAGUGUAGGGGUUGAUGAGCGCCGGCUAACUACGUG